Molecule: long non-coding RNA, 1000 nt
Filed under: Anas platyrhynchos platyrhynchos (common mallard)
Lineage: Eukaryota; Metazoa; Chordata; Aves; Anseriformes; Anatidae
Description: lncRNA (ENSAPLG00000027406.1)
Source: RNAcentral
UGCCCUGGUUCGUGCUGGCCGGGAACCACGACCACGCCGGGAACGUCACCGCGCAGCUGGCGUACAGCCACCGCUCCCCCCGCUGGUACGGCCCCCCCGCGGCCCCAGAGUGUCCCCCGGGUAUCCCCAGGGUGUCCCCAAGGGUCCCCAAGGUGUCCCCAGGUGUCCCCGGGUAUCCCAAAUUGUCCCCAGGGUGAUCCUGGGCAUCCCCAGGGUGUCCCCAAGGUGUCCCCAGGCCAUCCUCAAGGUGUCCCAAAGCGUCUCCAAGGGUCCCCAGUGUGUCCCCCGUCUGUCCCCCGGGUGUCCCAGUCCUUCCCCAGUCCAUCCCCAGUCCCUCCCUGGGUGUCCCCAGUCCUUCCCCAGGGUGUCUCCAGGCUGUCCCCAGGUGACCCCAGUCCCCAGUCCGUCCCCAGGGUGUCCCCAAGUGUCCCCAGUCCAUCCCCAAGGAGUCUCCAGGCUGUCCCCAGGUAACCUCUGUCCCCAGUCUGUCCCCAGGGUGUCCCCAGUCCGUCCCGGUCUGUCCCCAAGGUGUCCCAGUCCCUCCCCGUGUGUCCCAGUCUGUCCCCGCGAUGUCCCCCCGUGUCCCCCCGUGUCCCCACGUGUCCCCCCCGUCCCGCAGGCACUUCCCGCACCCCUACUACAGCCUCCGCCUGCGGGUGCCGGGCAGCAACGCCACGGCGCGGCUGCUGCUGCUGGACACGGUGCUGCUGUGCGGCAGCACCGAGGAUUUCGGGGCCGGGAGCCCACCGGCGGGCCCGGCGGCCGCCCGCGACCGCUUCGUGCUGGUGGCCGGCCACUACCCGGUGUGGUCGGUGGCCGAGCACGGCCCCACCGCCUGCCUCCUGCGCCUGCUGCGCCCGCUGCUGCGGCGCCACCGCGUCACCGCCUACCUCUGCGGGCACGACCACAACCUGCAGGUCGGGGCACCCCCCCCGGGACCCCCCCCGGGUUUGGUUGGGGAGGGAUUCGUGGGAAUCUGACCCCCCCCCGGAUUUGGUUU